RNAcentral lists this ribosomal RNA (117 nucleotides) under Triticum aestivum (bread wheat). The record is from RNAcentral. Lineage: Eukaryota; Viridiplantae; Streptophyta; Magnoliopsida; Poales; Poaceae. RNAcentral also lists the same sequence under 1 other name.
UCUGGUGUCCUAGGCGUAGAGGAACCACACCAAUCCAUCCCGAAUUUGGUGGUUAAACUCUACUGCGGUGAUGAUACUGUAGGGGAGGUCCUGCGGCAAAAUAGCUCGAUGCCAGAA